CAGUCGCCACGGGAAUACGAAGGGUGCAAGCGUUAAUCGGAAUUACUGGGCGUAAAGCGUGCGUAGGCGGUGAGUUAAGUCUGCUGUGAAAUCCCCGGGCUCAACCUGGGAAUGGCAAUGGAUACUGGCAAGCUAGAGUGUGUCAGAGGAUGGUGGAAUUCCCGGUGUAGCGGUGAAAUGCGUAGAGAUCGGGAGGAACACCAGUGGCGAAGGCGGCUCACUGGUCCAUUACUGACGCUGAGGUGCGAAAGCGUGGGGAGCAAACAGGAUUAGAUACCCCCGUAGUCCCUGUCUCUUAUAC
RNAcentral lists this ribosomal RNA (301 nucleotides) under uncultured bacterium. Its description in RNAcentral is "partial 16S ribosomal RNA". It matches the Rfam family "Bacterial small subunit ribosomal RNA", at positions 509 to 807 of the family's 1533-position model. The record is from RNAcentral.